AUUGAACGCUGGCGGCAGGCCUAACACAUGCAAGUCGAGCGGAUGAAGGGAGCUUGCUCCUGGAUUCAGCGGCGGACGGGUGAGUAAUGCCUAGGAAUCUGCCUGGUAGUGGGGGAUAACGUCCGGAAACGGGCGCUAAUACCGCAUACGUCCUGAGGGAGAAAGUGGGGGAUCUUCGGACCUCACGCUAUCAGAUGAGCCUAGGUCGGAUUAGCUAGUUGGUGGGGUAACGGCCUACCAAGGCGACGAUCCGUAACUGGUCUGAGAGGAUGAUCAGUCACCCUGGAAGUGAGACACGGUACAGACCCUUACGGGGAGCAGCAGUGGGGAAUAUUGGACGAUGGGGGAAAGCCUGAUCCAGGCAUGCCGCGUGUGUGAAGAAGGUCUUCGGAUUGUAAAGCAAUUUAAGUUGGGAGGAAGGGCAGUAAGUUAAUACCUUGCUGUUUUGACGUUACCAACAGAAUAAGCACCGGCUAACUUCGUG
This 484-nucleotide ribosomal RNA is filed under the name uncultured bacterium. RNAcentral's name for it is "partial 16S ribosomal RNA". It matches the Rfam family "Bacterial small subunit ribosomal RNA", at positions 30 to 507 of the family's 1533-position model. The record is from RNAcentral.